CACCAUUCUACUCUGUUACCAAGAGUUCAACUUCUAUUUUAGAUUCCACAUGUUAGGGAGAUUAUGCAGUAUUUGUCUUUCUGUUUGGCUGAUUUCACUUAGCACAAUGUACUCCAUGUUAACCCACGUUGUUGUAAAUGGUGGGAACUCCAUCUGUCAAUGAACACUUAGGUUGUUUCUGUAUCUUGGCUACUGUGAAUAAUUCUGCAAUGAACCUGGGAGUGCAGAUACUUCUAUAAGCUCUAGUAGUCUGCCCUGAUCCUCAGGGAAUACAUUCCAAGACCCCCAGUUGGUGCCUGACACUGAUACAGACAGGAGGCAGGGAAAUACUGGGUUGAAAAUGGUGGAGUCUCUGGCAAGGGUUCCACCCUAAGUCUGGACUCACGGCCCUAAACGAGAACUUCACAUCCCCAUUUUCCCGCCGGAAUGUUGCUUUUUCCAAAUCCACCCUGUCCUGCUCUGUCCCACACCCUGUACCCAUAAAAAUCUCAAACUCCACUAGCAGAGAAGCAGAGUGUAGUGGCAGAGGAGGAGAGAAGAGAAGCAGCAGCUGGACAUCGGAGAAAAGCAGCUUGACUUUGGAGGGAUGGCUUGAUGGUGGGACUUCACAGAAGAGUUCGACCGUCCUCAGGUGGGACUCCAGGGGAAGAUUAUCUUCCCACUCCAUCCCCCUUCCAGCUUCCCUUCCCUUUGAGAGCCACCUUCACCACUCUAUGAAAUUUUCCACGUACACCACCCUUCAAUUCAUUCAUGUGACCGGAUUCUUCCUGGAUGCUGGACAAGAACUCAGAGAAAUGGAAAUCCUUGGAGAAUGUCCGUCUCCAUGAUAUUUGGUACCUGGCAUAUCUAAACCCAGGACAAGUGUUCACAGCACAGCAAUCAAAACUUCUCAGGCCACUGUGAAAGGUGAAGAUGUUUGCUAGAGCUAGAGAAACACAAACUGCAAAGUGACAACCGGAGAUGCUGAUCAGUGGUGCAGAUUCAUUUCAAACGUGAGUGAGAUGUCUUAAGCUUUGCCUUCUCAGGACUAAAGACUGCAGAACGCUGACUCGGUACCUACGACUUCCAACACCAACAUUGGUGCCAUUCUCCAAGUCAAAGAGAGCAAGUUGCAAAUAAAAUUUGGAAUUGAGGUUUCAGGUGAAAGAAAGGUGAGUGUGUUCAUCUCACACUAUGAUUUGAUGCUACUAGGUCUAGAAGUAAUCACUGUAAAAACUGUAGGAAAUAUUUCUGAGUACUUUCAUUCAUACAUUUAAUCAAUCAUUUACUCUUAAAAACACUUUUUAAACUUUCAGUGAUAUGCCAGAUAUGGGCUAAUACUGUGAAUACAGAAGAGAAGAGGUCUGAUCCACUGCCUGGCUUACAG
RNAcentral lists this long non-coding RNA (1366 nucleotides) under Papio anubis (olive baboon). RNAcentral describes it as "lncRNA (ENSPANG00000040094.1)". The record is from RNAcentral. Lineage: Eukaryota; Metazoa; Chordata; Mammalia; Primates; Cercopithecidae.